Molecule: ribosomal RNA, 478 nt
Filed under: uncultured bacterium
Lineage: Bacteria
Description: bacterial SSU rRNA
Rfam family: Bacterial small subunit ribosomal RNA
Source: RNAcentral
GAUGAACGCUAGCGGCAGGCUUAAUACAUGCAAGUCGUACGAGAAAGCCGGCUUCGGCUGGUGAGUAAAGUGGCGCACGGGUGAGUAACGCGUGGAUAAUCUGCCCUUAAGUGUGGAAUAACGUACCGAAAGGUGCGCUAAUACCGCAUAAUGCCUGGCAACACAAGUUGUCCGGCCAAAGAAGGCCUCUGUUUACAAGCUUUCGCUUCAGGAUGAGUCCGCGUACCAUUAGCUUGUUGGUGGGGUAAUGGCCUACCAAGGCUGCGAUGGUUAGCUGGUCUGAGAGGAUGAUCAGCCACACUGGAACUGAGACACGGUCCAGACUCCUACGGGAGGCAGCAGUGAGGAAUAUUGCGCAAUGGGGGCAACCCUGACGCAGCAACGCCGCGUGAGUGAGGAAGGUUUUCGGACUGUAAAGCUCUGUCGAGCGGGAAGAAGUGUACCAUGGCUAAUAUCCAUGAUAUUUGACGGUACCGCU